AUUGAACGCUGGCGGCAGGCUUAACACAUGCAAGUCGAGCGGAGUGAUGGUGCUUGCACUAUCACUUAGCGGCGGACGGGUGAGUAAUGCUUAGGAAUCUGCCUAUUAGUGGGGGACAACAUCUCGAAAGGAUGCUAAUACCGUAUACGUCCUACGGGAGAAAGCAGGGGCUCACUUGUGACCUUGAGCUAAUAGAUGAGCCUAAGUCGGAUUAGCUAGUUGGUGGGGUAAAGGCCUACCAAGGCGACGAGCUGUAGCGGGUCUGAGAGGAUGGUCCGCCACACUGGGACUGAGACACGGCCCAGACUCCUACGGGAGGCAGCAGUGGGGAAUAUUGGACAAUGGGGGGAACCCUGAUCCAGCCAUGCCGCGUGUGUGAAGAAGGCCUUAUGGUUGUAAAGCACUUUAAGCGAGGAGGAGGCUCUUUUGGUUAAUACCCAAGAUGAGUGGACGUUACUCGCAGAAUAAGCACCGGCUAACUCUGUGCCAGCAGCCGCGGUAA
Molecule: ribosomal RNA, 502 nt
Filed under: uncultured bacterium
Lineage: Bacteria
Description: partial 16S ribosomal RNA
Rfam family: Bacterial small subunit ribosomal RNA
Source: RNAcentral